ACGUGAUCUGAGUUCAGACCGGAGCAAUCCAGGUCAGUUUCUAUCUAUAAAGAGCUUCUUCUAGUACGAAAGGACCGAAAAAGCAUGGCCUAUACUCCAAGCAAGCCAUCAUAAAUAACUUAUGUUUCUAAACUUAAUACCCAAUUUACCUCCAACCAACCUCAUGACAAGAGA
Molecule: ribosomal RNA, 174 nt
Filed under: Scinax cosenzai
Lineage: Eukaryota; Metazoa; Chordata; Amphibia; Anura; Hylidae
Description: partial 16S large subunit ribosomal RNA
Source: RNAcentral